This 418-nucleotide ribosomal RNA is filed under the name uncultured bacterium. RNAcentral's name for it is "bacterial SSU rRNA". It matches the Rfam family "Bacterial small subunit ribosomal RNA", at positions 29 to 450 of the family's 1533-position model. The record is from RNAcentral.
AGCGAACGUUUGCGGCGGGCCUAACACAUGCAAGUCGAACGCACUAGCAAUAGUGAGUGGCGCACGGGUGCGUAACACGUGGGUAAUCAACCCUUCAGCUUGGGAUAACGACUUGAAAGGGUCGCUAAUACCGGAUACGGCGCGGGAGGCUUCGGCUUCUCACGAGAAAGCCUCGCAAGGGGCACUGAAGGACGAGCCUGCGGCCCAUCAGCUAGUUGGUGAGGUAAGAGCUCACCAAGGCGAAGACGGGUAGCUGGUCUGAGAGGAUGAAAUCAGCCACACUGGAACUGAGACACGGUCCAGACUCCUACGGGAGGCAGCAGUGGGGAAGUAUUGCGCAAUGGGCGAAAGCCUGACGCAGCCACGCCGCGUGAGCGAUGAAGGCCUCGGUCGUAAGACUCUGUGGGAGGAGACGAAG